AUUGAACGCUGGCGGCAGGCCUAACACAUGCAAGUCGAGCGGUAGAGAGAAGCUUGCUUCUCUUGAGAGCGGCGGACGGGUGAGUAAUGCCUAGGAAUCUGCCUGGUAGUGGGGGGAUAAACGUUCGGAAACGAACGCUAAUACCGCAUACGUCCUACGGGAGAAAGCAGGGGGACCUUCGGGCCUUGCGCUAUCAGAUGAGCCUAGGUCGGAUUAGCUAGUUGGUGAGGUAAUGGCUCACCAAGGCGACGAUCCGUAACUGGUCUGAGAGGAUGAUCAGUCACACUGGAACUGAGACACGGUCCAGACUCCUACGGGAGCAGCAGUGGGAAUAUUGGACAAUGGGCGAAAGCCUGAUCCAGCAAUGCCGCGUGAGUGAUGAA
Molecule: ribosomal RNA, 383 nt
Filed under: uncultured bacterium
Lineage: Bacteria
Description: bacterial SSU rRNA
Rfam family: Bacterial small subunit ribosomal RNA
Source: RNAcentral